UACGGGGGGGGCAAGCGUUGUUCGGAAUUACUGGGCGUAAAGGGCUCGUAGGCGGCCAACUAAGUCGGACGUGAAAUCCCUCGGCUUAACCGGGGAACCGCGUCCGAUACUGGAUGGCUUGAGUUCGGGAGAGGGAUGCGGAAUUCCAGGUGUAGCGGUGAAAUGCGUAGAUAUCUGGAGGAACACCGGUGGCGAAGGCGGCAUCCUGGACCGACACUGACGCUGAGGAGCGAAAGCCAGGGGAGCAAACGGG
This 253-nucleotide ribosomal RNA is filed under the name uncultured bacterium. RNAcentral's name for it is "partial 16S ribosomal RNA". It matches the Rfam family "Bacterial small subunit ribosomal RNA", at positions 524 to 776 of the family's 1533-position model. The record is from RNAcentral.